Non-coding RNA from Pan troglodytes (chimpanzee), 165 nucleotides. It matches the Rfam family "Metazoan signal recognition particle RNA". Rfam says of the family: The signal recognition particle (SRP) is a universally conserved ribonucleoprotein. The record is from Rfam. Lineage: Eukaryota; Metazoa; Chordata; Mammalia; Primates; Hominidae.
GCUGGGCGUGGUGGUGCAUGCCUGUAAUCCCAGCUACUUGGGAGGCUGAGGCAGGAGAAUUGCUUGAACCCGGGAGGUGGAGGUUGCAGGGAGGUGGAGGUUGCAGUGAGCUGAGAUUACGCCACUGCUCUCUAGCCUGGGCAACAGAGCAAGACUCUGACUCCG